RNAcentral lists this ribosomal RNA (279 nucleotides) under uncultured bacterium. RNAcentral describes it as "partial 16S ribosomal RNA". It matches the Rfam family "Bacterial small subunit ribosomal RNA", at positions 28 to 303 of the family's 1533-position model. The record is from RNAcentral.
GAUGAACGCUAGCGGCAGGCUUAACACAUGCAAGUCGAGGGGCAGCACGAUGUAGCAAUACAUGGGUGGCGACCGGCGCACGGGUGCGUAACACGUAUGGAACUUGCCCUUUACUGGGGGAUAGCCCGGAGAAAUCCGGAUUAAUACCCCAUAACAAGCGGAGUGGCAUCACUCUGCUUUGAAAGCUCCGGCGGUAAAGGAUGGCCAUGCGCCCGAUUAGCAGUUGGUGAGGUAACGGCUCACCAAGGCUAUGAUCGGUAGGGGGCCGUGAGAGGGUUA